AUGCGGCCAAGGAGACGCGUUCCAAGAUUAGGGAUGCGCGGGAGGAGCUUCGACAGGCCGGGGAAAUCGCGUCUGCAAAACUCUUAUUUGUUGCGGAUGAAGUUUUUAGAUCCGAAGUACGCUCCUAUGGAUCGACGCUGGAGUCCUACAGACGCCUAUGCAGAUUUGGCAAAGAGUACGGCUGAUGCAGCCAAGUUUUUCGAGGAUCAAAAAGAUGAUGAAGUGGAAAAGCUAUUCUGGUCGCAGUUCAGCGCUCCAACGUGCACAUUGCCUUUGAGUGAGAGGAUGGCUGCUAUGGCCGAGCUCCACAGGUUGUCCGGUCUUGCAAUGCGGUCUGUAAUAGACCAUCUAUGGCCGAAGGGGCCUAAGCCGGACAGUUAUUUUAGUUUAGUGCAACAAUUCCUUGGUGCCGUAUCGUGGAUCGAUGCCAUGAAGAGGUCGGCGUGCAUAGAGGGUGCACAGAUGGCUCUUGCCCGUGUUAAAGCAUAUUGGACAGAUAUGGAGGCCACCGUCGUUGCGACCCAGAAUCUGGCGGGGGGCCAGGAUCCGGCCGAGCACAUCUUGGAGCAGGUAGCAGAAGGUGCUCGCUUAAUAGAGGCUCAGUGCUUGAAAAGUGUCAUGUUCGAGUGA
This 630-nucleotide ribosomal RNA is filed under the name Triticum aestivum (bread wheat). RNAcentral's name for it is "partial small subunit ribosomal RNA". The record is from RNAcentral. Lineage: Eukaryota; Viridiplantae; Streptophyta; Magnoliopsida; Poales; Poaceae.